RNAcentral lists this ribosomal RNA (482 nucleotides) under uncultured bacterium. RNAcentral's name for it is "partial 16S ribosomal RNA". It matches the Rfam family "Bacterial small subunit ribosomal RNA", at positions 30 to 507 of the family's 1533-position model. The record is from RNAcentral.
AUUGAACGCUGGCGGCAUGAUUUACACAUGCAAGUCGAACGGUAACAGGCCGCUAGGUGCUGACGAGUGGCGAACGGGUGAGUAAUGCAUCGGAACGUGCCCAGUCGUGGGGGAUAACUACUCGUAAGAGUAGCUAAUACCGCAUACGAUCUAUGGAUGAAAGCGGGGGACCGUAAGGGCUCGCGCGAUUGGAGCGGCCGAUGUCAGAUUAGGUAGUUGGUGGGGUAAAGGCUCACCAAGCCAACGAUCUGUAGCUGGUCUGAGAGGACGACCAGCCACACUGGAACUGAGACACGGCCCAGACUCCUACGGGAGGCAGCAGUGGGGAAUUUUGGACAAUGGGCGCAAGCCUGAUCCAGCAAUGCCGCGUGCAGGAAGAAGGCCUUCGGGUUGUAAACUGCUUUUGUACGGAACGAAACGGCUCUGGUUAAUACCCGGGGCUAAUGACGGUACCGGAAGAAUAAGCACCGGCUAACUACGUG